Molecule: ribosomal RNA, 628 nt
Filed under: uncultured bacterium
Lineage: Bacteria
Description: bacterial SSU rRNA
Rfam family: Bacterial small subunit ribosomal RNA
Source: RNAcentral
AACGAACGCUGGCGGCGUGGAUAAGACAUGCAAGUCGAACGGGCUUGAUUGGGUAGCAAUAUCUGAUCGAGCUAGUGGCGAACGGGUGCGUAACACGUGAGCAACCUGCCGAGAAGUGGGGGAUAGCUCGCCGAAAGGCGAAUUAAUACCGCAUGUGACCUGGGAUGACAUCUUCCCUCAGUCAAAGCCGGGGCAACCUGGCGCUUCCUGAUGGGCUCGCGGCCUAUCAGCUUGUUGGCGAGGUAACGGCUCACCAAGGCUAUGACGGGUAACUGAUCUGAGAGGAUGAUCAGUCACACUGGAACUGAGACACGGUCCAAACACCUACGGGUGGCAGCAGUCGAGAAUCAUUCGCAAUGGGCGAAAGCCUGACGGUGCGACGCCGCGUGAAGGAUGGAGGUCUUCGGAUCGUAAACUUCUGUCAUUUGAGAACAAUUGGCAGGGCAGUAACUGGCCUUGCCUUGAUAGUAUCAGAAGAGGAAGAGACGGCUAACUCUGUGCCAGCAGCCGCGGUAAUACAGGGGUCUCAAGCGUUGUUCGGAUUCAUUGGGCGUAAAGGGUGCGUAGGCGGCGCUGUAAGUCGGAUGUGAAAUCCCGGGGCUCAACCUCGGAACUGCAUUCGAUACUG